AGAGUUUGAUCAUGGCUCAGAUUGAACGCUGGCGGUAGGCUUAACACAUGCAAGUCGAGCGAGAAAGUAUCUUCGGAUAUGAGUAGAGCGGCGGACGGGUGAGUAACGCGUAGGAAUCUACCUAGUAGAAGGGGAUAGCCCGGGGAAACUCGGAUUAAUACCGUAUACCUCCUAAGGGAGAAAGAGGGCCUCUCUUGAAGCUCUCGCUACUAGAUGAGCCUGCGUAAGAUUAGCUUGUUGGUAAGGUAAUGGCUUACCAAGGCUACGAUCUUUAGCUGGUCUGAGAGGACGAUCAGCCACAUUGGGACUGAGACACGGCCCAGACUCCUACGGGAGGCAGCAGUGGGGAAUAUUGGACAAUGGGCGCAAGCCUGAUCCAGCCAUACCGCGUGUGUGAAGAAGGCCUUCGGGUUGUAAAGCACUUUAAGCAGGGAGAAAAAGCAAUAAGUUAAUACCUUAUUGCCGUGAUGUUACCUGCAGAAUAAGCACCGGCUAAUUCCGUGCCAGCAGCCGCGGUAAUACGGAAGGUGCAAGCGUUAAUCGGAAUUACUGGGCGUAAAGCGCGCGUAGGUGGUUUGUUAAGUUGGAUGUGAAAGCCCUGGGCUCAACCUAGGAACUGCAUCCAAAACUAACUCACUAGAGUACGAUAGAGGGAGGUAGAAUUCAUAGUGUAGCGGUGGAAUGCGUAGAUAUUAUGAAGAAUACCAGUGGCGAAGGCGGCCUCCUGGAUCUGUACUGACACUAAGGUGCGAAAGCGUGGGUAGCGAACAGGAUUAGAUACCCUGGUAGUCCACGCCGUAAACGAUGACAACUAGCUGUUGGGAGACAAUGUCUUUCAGUGGCGCAGCUAACGUUUUAAGUUGUCCGCCUGGGGAGUACGGGCCGCAAG
RNAcentral lists this ribosomal RNA (889 nucleotides) under uncultured bacterium. RNAcentral describes it as "bacterial SSU rRNA". It matches the Rfam family "Bacterial small subunit ribosomal RNA", at positions 8 to 892 of the family's 1533-position model. The record is from RNAcentral.